UACGGAGGGUGCUAGCGUUGUUCGGAAUUACUGGGCGUAAAGCGCACGUAGGCGGAUUUGUUAGUCAGGGGUGAAAUCCCGGGGCUCAACCUCGGAACUGCCUUUGAUACUGCAAGUCUCGAGUCCGGAAGAGGUGAGUGAAAUUCCUAGUGUAGAGGUGAAAUUCGUAGAUAUUAGGAAGAACACCAGUGGCGAAGGCGGCUCACUGGUCCGGUACUGACGCUGAGGUGCGAAAGCGUGGGGAGCAAACAGG
RNAcentral lists this ribosomal RNA (253 nucleotides) under uncultured bacterium. RNAcentral describes it as "partial 16S ribosomal RNA". It matches the Rfam family "Bacterial small subunit ribosomal RNA", at positions 524 to 776 of the family's 1533-position model. The record is from RNAcentral.